Molecule: ribosomal RNA, 274 nt
Filed under: uncultured bacterium
Lineage: Bacteria
Description: partial 16S ribosomal RNA
Rfam family: Bacterial small subunit ribosomal RNA
Source: RNAcentral
AUACGGAGGGUGCGAGCGUUAAUCGGAAUUACUGGGCGUAAAGCGUACGUAGGCGUUUUGCUAAGUCAGAUGUGAAAGCCCCGGGCUUAACCUGGGAACUGCAUUUGAUACUGGCAGACUAGAGUAUGAUAGAGGGGGGUAGAAUUCCUGGUGUAGCGGUGAAAUGCGUAGAUAUCAGGAGGAAUACCAGUGGCGAAGGCGGCCCCCUGGAUCAAUACUGACGCUGAGGUACGAAAGCGUGGGGAGCGAACAGGAUUAGAUACCCUAGUAGUCC